This 678-nucleotide ribosomal RNA is filed under the name Escherichia coli. RNAcentral describes it as "partial 23S ribosomal RNA". It matches the Rfam family "Bacterial large subunit ribosomal RNA", at positions 2181 to 2853 of the family's 2925-position model. The record is from RNAcentral. Lineage: Bacteria; Pseudomonadati; Pseudomonadota; Gammaproteobacteria; Enterobacterales; Enterobacteriaceae.
UGGAGCCGACCUUGAAAUACCACCCUUUAAUGUUUGAUGUUCUAACGUUGACCCGUGAUCCGGGUUGCGGACAGUGUCUGGUGGGUAGUUUGACUGGGGCGGUCUCCUCCUAAAGAGUAACGGAGGAGCACGAAGGUUGGCUAAUCCUGGUCGGACAUCAGGAGGUUAGUGCAAUGGCAUAAGCCAGCUUGACUGCGAGCGUGACGGCGCGAGCAGGUGCGAAAGCAGGUCAUAGUGAUCCGGUGGUUCUGAAUGGAAGGGCCAUCGCUCAACGGAUAAAAGGUACUCCGGGGAUAACAGGCUGAUACCGCCCAAGAGUUCAUAUCGACGGCGGUGUUUGGCACCUCGAUGUCGGCUCAUCACAUCCUGGGGCUGAAGUAGGUCCCAAGGGUAUGGCUGUUCGCCAUUUAAAGUGGUACGCGAGCUGGGUUUAGAACGUCGUGAGACAGUUCGGUCCCUAUCUGCCGUGGGCGCUGGAGAACUGAGGGGGGCUGCUCCUAGUACGAGAGGACCGGAGUGGACGCAUCACUGGUGUUCGGGUUGUCAUGCCAAUGGCACUGCCCGGUAGCUAAAUGCGGAAGAGAUAAGUGCUGAAAGCAUCUAAGCACGAAACUUGCCCCGAGAUGAGUUCUCCCUGACUCCUUGAGAGUCCUGAAGGAACGUUGAAGACGACGACGU